GAUCCCGCCUUUGUCCAAGGAUGGAUUAUGGGACCCUUGCCAAUGAUGAUGCAACCCAGGAAGGUUGCUUGGGGCAAAAGGACAGCCUGCCUGCAUGCAAGUCAAAGGGGCACAGAGCUUCUGUUUGCAAGUGAAUGCGGAGCGGAGCACAAGCCCCUUGGGAUGGGAUGAAGGAGCGGUGCGAUCAUGGCCAUGUGACAAGAUAUCACACUGGCUCCUGUUAUGCUACGUUCCUUAAAAAGCCUUUUUUCUGGACAAUUGCCAGCCUCUGGGUUCAACCUCCAGCAAUGGAAAGGUAUGCUGAAUGGUUUGUGGGAUGCUCCUGAGAAUCAUUUGCACAAGUAAAGCUACUCUGUCUUUGUUUCAGACAUAGCUGAACUGGCAAAAGAGUAUUGGCAAAAGUAUUGGCAAAAGAGCUGAAUGUCCUUCUCUGGCCAGCUGCAAGGCAAAGGGGCACCUGUUUACCUGCAAGAGGACAGUAGAGUCCUAGAGGCCAGGAUCAAAUGAAGAAAAUGUAUUUUUGGAGAACUGAAACUGAUGUUUUCUUGAAAGAGGGUUAGGUAAAGGUAAUGGUUCCCCCUAACAUUUAGUCCAGGCAUGUCUGACUCUAGGGUGCGGUGCUCAUCUCCAUUUCCAAGCCGUAGAGCCAGCAUUUGUCCGAAGAUAGUUUCCGUGGUCACAUGGCCAGCGCGAGUAGACAUGGAACGCCGUUACCUUCCCACCAAGGUGGUCCCUAUUUAUCUACUCGCAUUUGCAUGCUAUUGAACUGCUAGGCUUCUGUGGUUUAACCCACAGUGCCACCACGUCCCUACGAAAGAGGAUUAGGGUUCACUUAUUGUAAAGGAAGCUUGUUGGUGGCUCCCACACAGCUCUACAUACAUUUGCAUUUCUUUCUCUCGUUCCCUCUCUUAAUAAUGUCUUGGGAGUGCCUGUUGGCCUCACCAUUCUAGAUUGUUUUAGAUGAAGCUAAUCGUUUGCCUCCUGAGGCUAGCCCUGAUUUGGAAGUGGAGACAAUCCUGGUUUGUGGACGAUUGCUGUCAGAAGCGGUGCAGAGUGUGUGUGUCCCUGUUAGACGUCAGUGCUGUAU
This 1087-nucleotide long non-coding RNA is filed under the name Pogona vitticeps (central bearded dragon). RNAcentral describes it as "lncRNA (ENSPVIG00000025211.1)". The record is from RNAcentral. Lineage: Eukaryota; Metazoa; Chordata; Lepidosauria; Squamata; Agamidae.